This 238-nucleotide long non-coding RNA is filed under the name Homo sapiens (human). RNAcentral describes it as "HSALNT0026683". Lineage: Eukaryota; Metazoa; Chordata; Mammalia; Primates; Hominidae. The record is from RNAcentral.
CUGAAAGGGGUCUUGAGGUGAAUGAUCCUGUACUCAUCCUCCACCAGCCAAUCAGUCUGUUUAUUAUUUGGCUUUAAAAAGAAACCCCUUCACCAUGAUGGAGCAAAAACUGUUACUUGGCUAUGUCAAGAGAAAGCAAUGCAACAAGUACAAAGCGUGCUGAUUAAUGCACCUUGUCUAUCUCUAUCAGACAGAGAGCUAGAUAUUGAUAGAGACUGCUAUCCUCAUGUGUAACUAC